Molecule: unclassified non-coding RNA, 391 nt
Filed under: soil metagenome
Description: partial contains 5.8S ribosomal RNA, internal transcribed spacer 2, and large subunit ribosomal RNA
Rfam family: 5.8S ribosomal RNA (bases 1-122)
Source: RNAcentral
GAUGAAGAACGUAGCGAAAUGCGAUACUUGGUGUGAAUUGCAGAAUCCCGUGAACCAUCGAGUCUUUGAACGCAAGUUGCGCCCGAAGCCACUAGGCCGAGGGCACGCCUGCCUGGGCGUCACACGCCGUUGCCCCCCCAUCUACUCCUUCGGGAUUGCGGGGGGGCGGAUGAUGGCCUCCCGUGCGCCUAGCCGCGCGGUUGGCAUAAAUACCAAGUCCUCGGCGACGCACGCCACGACAAUCGGUGGUUGCGAAACCUCGGUUGCCCGCCGUGGGCGUUCGUCGCGCAUCGAGGGCUCGAAAAAAUGCUCGGCUCCGGCUGGGCUUUCAACGCGACCCCAGGUCAGGCGGGGUUACCCGCUGAAUUUAAGCAUAUCAAUAAGCGGAGGA